ACGGCUCAGUAACACGUGGCUAACCUGCCCUUGGGACGGGGACACCCCCGGGAAACUGGGGUUAAUCCCCGAUAGGCGAAGAACUCUGGAAUGAAUCUCCACCUAAAAGGCGCUUGUGCUAUGCUCGCAGGUGUCGCCCAAGGAUGGGGCCGCGACCGAUCAGGUUGUUGGUGAGGUAAUGGCUCACCAAGCCUUUUACCGGUGCGGGCCGUGGGAGCGGGAGCCCGGAGAUGGGCACUGAGACAAGGGCCCAGGCCCUACGGGGUGCAGCAGUCGCGAAAACUUUGCAAUACACGAAAGUGUGACAGGGCUAUCCCGAGUGCCAUCCGCUGAGGAAGGCUUUUACCCAGUUUAGAACGCUGGGAGAAUAAGGAGAGGGCAAGACUGGUGUCAGCCGCCGCGGUAAUACCAGCUCUUCGAGUGGUGUGGAUGUUUAUUGGGCCUAGAGCAUCCGUAGCUGGCUGGGCAAGUCCCCUGUUAAAUCCACCGAUUUAAUCGUUGGAGUGCGGGGGAUACUGCUCGGCUAGGGGACGGGAGAGGCAGACGGUAUUUUCGGGGUAGGGGUGAAAUCCUAUAAUCCCGAGAGGACCACCAGUGGCGAAGGCUGUCUGCUAGAACGCGCCCGACGGUGAGGGAUGAAAGCUGGGGGAGCGAACCGGAUUAGAUACCCGGGUAGUCCCAGCUGUAAACGAUGCAGGCUAGGUGUUUGGACGGCCACGUGCCGUUCUAGUGCCGCAGGGAAGCCGUUAAGCCUGCCGCCUGGGGAGUACGGCCGCAAGGCUGAAACUUAAAGGAAUUGGCGGGGGAGCAC
This 811-nucleotide ribosomal RNA is filed under the name uncultured archaeon. RNAcentral's name for it is "bacterial SSU rRNA". It matches the Rfam family "Archaeal small subunit ribosomal RNA", at positions 85 to 879 of the family's 1478-position model. The record is from RNAcentral.